AGCCAUGUGGCAUAGUGGUUUAAAUGUUGGACUAUAACUCUGCAGAUCAGGGUUCGAUUCUGUGCGUGGCCA
Molecule: non-coding RNA, 72 nt
Organism: Phrynosoma platyrhinos (Desert horned lizard)
Lineage: Eukaryota; Metazoa; Chordata; Lepidosauria; Squamata; Phrynosomatidae
Source: the annotation of a GenBank genome assembly